GUAGCCCGACCAGGUCAUCAUAAGAAAAUACUGCCAAAUCUUUCCGAAAUGAGAGAAGGAGGGAAGGCGCGCUACAACUAA
Molecule: ribosomal RNA, 81 nt
Filed under: Triticum aestivum (bread wheat)
Lineage: Eukaryota; Viridiplantae; Streptophyta; Magnoliopsida; Poales; Poaceae
Description: partial small subunit ribosomal RNA
Source: RNAcentral